AACAGCAAGGUAUUAACUUACUGCCCUUCCUCCCAACUUAAAGUGCUUUACAAUCCGAAGACCUUCUUCACACACGCGGCAUGGCUGGAUCAGGCUUUCGCCCAUUGUCCAAUAUUCCCCACUGCUGCCUCCCGUAGGAGUCUGGACCGUGUCUCAGUUCCAGUGUGACUGAUCAUCCUCUCAGACCAGUUACGGAUCGUCGCCUUGGUAGGCCUUUACCCCACCAACUAGCUAAUCCGACCUAGGCUCAUCUGAUAGCGUGAGGUCCGAAGAUCCCCCACUUUCUCCCUCAGGACGUAUGCGGUAUUAGCGCCCGUUUCCGGACGUUAUCCCCCACUACCAGGCAGAUUCCUAGGCAUUACUCACCCGUCCGCCGCUGAAUCCAGGAGCAAGCUCCCUUCAUCCGCUCGACUUGCAUGUGUUAGGCCUGCCGCCAGCGUUCAAUCUGAGCCAGGAUC
This 458-nucleotide ribosomal RNA is filed under the name Pseudomonas aeruginosa. RNAcentral describes it as "partial 16S ribosomal RNA". Lineage: Bacteria; Pseudomonadati; Pseudomonadota; Gammaproteobacteria; Pseudomonadales; Pseudomonadaceae. The record is from RNAcentral.